Molecule: microRNA precursor, 124 nt
Filed under: Arabidopsis thaliana x Arabidopsis arenosa
Lineage: Eukaryota; Viridiplantae; Streptophyta; Magnoliopsida; Brassicales; Brassicaceae
Description: MIR405
Rfam family: MIR405 microRNA precursor family
Source: RNAcentral
UCAACCCAUUUAACCUUCUAACCCAUCAAAUUAAAUGAGUUGAUGGGUUGACUCAACUCAUUUAGCCAAAUGAGUUGAGUCAACUCAUCAACUCAUUUAACUCUAAACUCAUUGGGUAAUGAGU